RNAcentral lists this ribosomal RNA (494 nucleotides) under uncultured bacterium. RNAcentral's name for it is "partial 16S ribosomal RNA". It matches the Rfam family "Bacterial small subunit ribosomal RNA", at positions 28 to 507 of the family's 1533-position model. The record is from RNAcentral.
GACGAACGCUGGCGGCGUGCUUUAGGCAUACAAGUCGAACGCGAAAGCCCCUUCGGGGGUGAGUCGAGUGGCGAACGGGUGAGUAACACGUGGGUAACCUGCCCCUCGCAGGGGGAUAACCGGGGGAAACCCCGGCUAAUACCCCGUACGCUUGCUGGGGCGCAUGCUCCGGCAAGGAAAGGUAGCUUCGGCCAUCCGGCGAGGGAGGGGCCCGCGGCCCAUUAGCUAGUUGGUGGGGUAACGGCCCACCAAGGCGACGAUGGGUAGCUGGCCUGAGAGGGUGGUCAGCCACACUGGGACUGGGACGCGGCCCAAACUCCUACGGGAGGCAGCAGCCAGGAAUCUUGCGCAAGGGGCGAAAGCCUGACGCAGCAACGCGGCGUGGGCGAUGAAGGCCCUCGGGUCGUAAAGGCCUGUUGUCGGGGACGAAGGGCGAAGGGUUAAUAGCCCCUAGCCUGACGGUACCCGACGAGGAAGCCCCGGCUAACUACGUG